This 347-nucleotide unclassified non-coding RNA is filed under the name soil metagenome. Its description in RNAcentral is "partial contains 5.8S ribosomal RNA, internal transcribed spacer 2, and large subunit ribosomal RNA". The stretch from base 1 to 120 matches the Rfam family "5.8S ribosomal RNA", at positions 35 to 154 of the family's 154-position model. The record is from RNAcentral.
GAUGAAGAACGCAGUGAAAUGCGAUAAUUAAUGUGAAUUGCAGAAUUCAGUGAAUCAUCGAGUCUUUGAACGCACAUUGCGCCCCCUGGUAUUCCGGGGGGCAUGCCUGUCCGAGCGUCAUUGCUGCCCUCAAGUACGGCUUGUGUGUUGGGCUUCCGUCCCUGGCAACGGGGACGGGCCCAAAAGGCAGUGGCGGCACCAUGUCUGGUCCUCGAGCGUAUGGGGCUUUGUCACCCGCUCCCGUAGGUCCAGCUGGCAGCUAGCCUCGCAACCAAUCUUUUUAACCAGGUUGACCUCGGAUCAGGUAGGGAUACCCGCUGAACUUAAGCAUAUCAAUAAGCGGAGGA